This is a long non-coding RNA of Vespa crabro (European hornet), 5739 nucleotides long. RefSeq lists it as uncharacterized. Lineage: Eukaryota; Metazoa; Arthropoda; Insecta; Hymenoptera; Vespidae. The record is from RefSeq and is a predicted model, not a curated record. The transcript has 3 exons.
AGAGAGAGAGAGAGAGAGAGAGAGAGAGAGAGAGAGAGAGAGAGAGAGAGAGAGAGAGAGAGUGGGAUGAGAGAAUUCGAUGGAAAGAGGAACGUCGAGUGGUUCCCAGAACCAGUAUUUGCUCGUUCGCGUUUAAUAUCGAAAUCGUUGAAUCAUACGCGGAUGUAACGAAAUGCUCGAAUUAUUUGUGAGAGUGACGAAAACGUGGGAUGAGUGGGCAGCGAACCAUUUUCACUGAACUCACAGCGGUACCCACGGUUUAUUCUCAAUCAUUACGCUUGUUGCCGUAGUCAUAUCUUUUACAUGAAUGAUUACAUACAAUUAAACGUGUGAUUAGUUACUUACUAUUCAGUAGACAUUCUGUGUCGGAAUAUAUCCUUUUUAUUUUCUUCUUUAAUGUUCCGAUUCACUUAUUUACGUUAUUACGAAGGUAAAAUUUAUUAUCAACCAAUAAUCAAUCAUCGAACUUACGAUCCGAAAAUAAUCUCAACAACAUUAAGUGAUAUUCGCAUAGAGAAAAAAAAUCCAUGCUUCUUUCUUCCCCGUUAAAGAUUCUUAUACACAACCUGAACACAUAAGAAAAUAUGUAAAAGAUGUUUUUAAUAAUGAUCCCGACUCCUCGUACGCGCUGUUUUCGAUCCCAGCGAUAUAGGUAUAACGAGUUCAAAUGCUAUCGUGAUUUGUUUCGCAAAUUUGAUAAAUGUAUACGAACGCAAAGAGAUGUAGAACCGGAUAUAAAUACAUAAACGAGAAUGUUUCGGUGAGUAGUAGAGGGACUGGAAGAGGUAUAGAGGGGUAGUAUUACGGGGAAAAUAUCCCGCUAACGGUUUGACGAGAGCCACGGGGUACACAGGACGCGGUGGUAGAAGGGGAGAGUUGCGCAGGAUGGAUGUAAUUAAAGUGGUGACACGCUAGCCGUGGGGUAUGUCUACCCCAAUCCAAAUCCUGCGAAACCCCCGAAUCCCUGUCCCUCAAGAUAAUUCGGACACCGUGUAAUCGAUACGUCCUCCAGGCUGAUGUACAGGCAAUUUCAAAACGGAUAAUUCUCGGUCCAUUAUUUGGUACUCCCAUCGUAUCUCCACUAUAUAUAAAAUCUUCCCUCAUAUUUUCCCCUUGAAUGAAGAAAUGCUCCUAUAAGAUACUUCUUUUCUUGUCAUUUGUUAACGCUUUUUGGAUAAGUAAGUAAAAGCGACAAUUGUGUUACACAAUGGUCUACGAAAAAAAUCGAAUGUAAUAUCGUUGACAUUAACUUCGUCAGUAUUUUGACAGCUAAGGCUAACAAGUGACGAGUUUUGAGAAUCCAAUGUCAAAUUCUAUAUCAUAUGCUUACAGUCAAAUGCUAUAUCACAGCUUGGACUAACGCGUCCCAUUCUCCAUAGAUUCAGUUCUAAAGUCUACUUGUAUGUCUCAAAGUUUCAGAUUACGGUAUUACAAGUUUCGUGGGUGGGUGGAAAGUACUGCCUCAAAGUUGAAUCUCAUAGGUCAUCUUACCGCAAAAGCCAUAUCUACCAACCUUUGGUCGGUUGCAUACAAACUUCGAGAGGGCAUCAUUCGAUGUACACUUGAUCACAAUGGACAUAAUAAGACUCUGUUAAUCGAAAAUACAAAUAUAUUCUGGCAUAGAUAGUUCAUUAAUAGAAAAUUCAUUUUUGUACAUAUAUUAUAUGUAAGUUUUAAAAUAUUGAAUAUUAUCCAUUGUUUUUUUACGACAAAUUCUGAAGAGUUUCAUCAGAAACAUUAUAUAUUUAAUGAUCUCUUUCAACUCUCACCGUCUCAAAAUCUUCCUUAACAUCAUAUGUCAUCGUUUAUGUCAAUUGCCGAAACCAAUUUUACAAUGUAUUUUACGUAUCGUUUUCCUCCUUAGAUAGAGAAACGCUAAACCCAUAAAAUAAAUUGCCUCAACUUUAUGAUUAAUGAACAAUCAUAGUGAUUGUAUACUUUGAAAUUAUUGGGGCGCAAACUUUCCCUGAAAUUUGCUUGAAAUACCGUUUUCAAAUUAGAACAUCCACGUAAUUUUAUCGUCUCGCGUCAUAAACGACAGCUUCACCCAUAUGUAGAGAUGGAGCGUAUGGACAGCACUUCGCACCACAAGUGGACCUCUCUAAAAUCCCACCCUUUACCGCAACAUCAGCUUACUGUUUUUACUUUUCACGAUGGGAACUACUUGUUUCUAUCCCUUAUGUAACAGCAGUAUUUUGUAUCUUUUUAACACAUCGAAAUCGUUUUUAUUUUUUCUACCCAUUAUCCCAACUAUACAUGAAUUCCAAAUUGAAAUCUAUCGAUUAUGAUCAUUUACAACAGCAACAUCUACUCCCUCGAGUACGAAUCAUAAAAUUGCAUUGCAUUGGAGAUGUAUAUAGAAAGGACGAUAUGAGGUGAGGAGAAAAGGUAGAAUAAUUUAAGCCUAUCAACGAAAUCAAUCGAUUACCGACGAACAGCACAUGUUAAACCGCAAGGAUUCUCCAUGAUUACUGUCGGGCCAUCUGUUAAAACCGGUUACACCUAUCAUAAUAUGCUUUAUGCAAAUAUUGAUUCACUAUAUUACGCUCACGCGUACGAAGAUCCCAUAAAUUGUAAACAUCAUGACAAGCGCACAACAAUCACAUAAUAGUCUCUCGUUCAAUUCCUUUUUCUGUUUCUAUUACGAACUAACACGAUGAUAAACUAAACUUCCUCAAGAGAGGAACAAAAAUUGGGGAGUGGGAAGUAUAAAAGUAUAUAGUUUCAGUAGACUCUUCCCCUUCUGGCCGCUAAAUUCGUUUCCUUGACUUAUACGAAUUAAUUUCGAAGAGGAAACGAUUUAGCAGCUAUGAUAUCUUCCGACUACACUCCUGGGCUUCACGAAUCCAUCGAAGCUCCCUGGCGUACAGAUUAAUGACACUAAUCUUUUAAGCUUCAACGCUAACUGCGCAUCUCGCAAUUUCUUUGAUCGAUGCUAUAUUUUUAAGGACAACGCGAAGCACGACUAACUUACAGAAGUAAAGACGACGUUCGCGAGAUCCAGUUUAAUAUUGCACUCAGUAGAAGAAAGGUCAACGCUUUACCGCUGAUCUAAUAUAAUUGAAACGACAUUGGUACAUUCUAUUAAUGAAAGAAAAUAGAUCAUGGUGUGGUAUUUAACAAUUGUUAAGAAUAUAAAUUAAUUCGUAGCCUUACUUUCAUAAGUUUGUUUAUUUAUCAAAAUCUAAUGUACAUUUUAUUCUUAGAUGUAAGCGCGAUUUUACAAAUUUAUCUCAUAAGAUAAUUUCCGAAUUCCUUCUCUGAAAGAUUUUGAAUCAAGAAAUUCAAUAAAUGGUUUUUUCAAACUCUUUUUCUGUUUUGAGAUGAAUAUUGUUUAAAUGAUGUUGCAGUGACCGGAACAAAUAGUAAUCAGAAGGGGCUAAAUCCGGAGAGUAUACCGCGUGUGGGAAAAGUUUCCAUCCAAGGGAAUAUAUCAAAUCUGUUGUGGCUUUGACUACAUAUGACCGUGCAUUGUCCUGGAGCAAUAUCAUCUGCCUAAUUCCACUAUACUGGAGCGACAGACUCCUUCGUGAACUCUUCUGCCCCUCGUCGAAGAAACCAACGAGCUACGACGAAAGGGACUUCUUCGGUGAGCGGCUAUCGCUUUAAUUCGCCGUUUGAACGAUUUCAAGCGUAGCGUCGCAAAUGGCGAGCAAUUUGCCAGAACUAAUGGUAAUGACGAUCGCGUCUUUGACAAUUUUUUCUUCCUCUUUUAGCACUCUUGCUCUCCUUGUUUCCUUUUCUCUUUUUGCCUUUUUCCAGCGUCUCCGAAGUGCUUUGAUCGAAUUCACUAGCCUCUCUGGUGCCGAUAGGGCAGGCACUGGGCAUCCAUUAAAGAAGUUUAAGCUAUUCAAGCGAAUGACGAUGAAAUUGCGCGGGUAUCCACUCUGUCGUUCAGGCAGCGUUUAAUGGUUAAUGGAGUUCCAAAUCAAAUUAUUGGUAAUGAGUAAAGUUGCCGAGGGCGCCGCAGAGCGCGCACGCUAGUGAAGCGAAUACCGCCUGUAAAUUAUAUAAAGUGCGGGGCACUUGCAACGUGUCUUUCGCGAAAUUUGUCCCGCAAGUAUGCCAGCUGUUCGGAACUUUGACGCAACUCAACCGAGGAGAAUACCUCCUUUCGGGAAGAAGUCGUUCGGACUCGAUUUGACUUUCGUCCUCCUCCAUCUCUUUUAUUCCUUUCAUUCAAAGAGUAUUACAAGUCGAAUCAAUCAUAUUUUACAGUCAUGAAUAUUGAGAAUAAAUUGAUGAUCGAUUGCUAUAAAAGCGUCUAUUCAACGAUCAAUGUACAUGGAUGGAUAGUGUAGAUUGGCUUUCAUAAUAAAAACAAAACAGAAUAAGUUACUCCAAAAGAUUAAGUAUAUUUACUUUUUUCUUUUUUCUUUUUAAUGUCGUCGUUUCUGCGACUAUAAAGUUUUAUUCGGAGCUUACAUCUCACUUUCUCAAAAUAAAUCGUUGUAAGGAUUUUCCAGGCUGUUGACCAAGUACCAUAAGAGAAAAAGAAAGAUAGGUAGAGAGAAGUGGUUGCGUAAUUUCGUGCGUGUUUGUGAGAUUUCCAGGACACUGGUGUACGACACAGCAGAUUCGCUACCAGGAAUUGGCAAUUAACGUUGUCACCGGCGUAUAAUCGUAUCUCGAGAAGCGCGUAAUUUAUCGACUCAAACUCCUAAUUGGCUGCGUUGUACGUCACGUCGUUAGGGGGGUUGCGCACAACUAAUUCCUCCGGUCUAACUUCGACGCGACGCACUCGAGAGCUACCUACGUACGUACCCGAACUGGUAGCUUCAACCAUGGUGCGAACGUAUACCCCUUAGAGAGGCUAAUCCUUCCCACCCACCUCUUGCCUCCUAUUUCUCCUCAACCGGUAUAUAAACGGCUCGAGAGAGCACAAACUUCCUGUAUUGUCAUUUCCAGGCUAGUUGGUGACUCAUUUCGUUAAAACCUAUAAUCAUUGCCUUACAGAGAAAAAUAAUGAGGCAGCUUUCUUUAUUUUUUUACGAGAUAUUUAUGAAGGGAAUCAAUUUUUCAAGAGUACAAGCUAUUAAAGACGAAAACUACACUUGGUGCUCGUCAAAUCGGACGUAGAUUCGUGUGAAGACACGUGGCACUGGUACGGCGCGUAACCACUCUCGUAAAGCAAUCGCUUCAUGUCUCUUUCAUGAGGCAACGCCGUAAUAGGUUCGACGUGAGACAAAAGUGGAAAAGAACGGCACGUUUACAUCGACGUUGUUUACCCCCACCGUUAGCUCUCUCUAUUCUCUUUCCUUCCUUCCGACUCACUUCUUUCUGUACGUUCCAAGACGAAGAGGAACGAUGCUUGUCGUAGCUGUGGAAUAAAGUUCCACCGUUGUUUCUUCCGGGUGAGUACGCCGCGUCGUUAGAAAGACGUCCAACUGUCUGGAAGAAGACAACGACGAAGACGAAGACGACUGGAAGGAGGAGAAAGAAGCGGAAAUAGGAGAGAAGAGCGAUGACGAAAGAGAAAGACGAAGAAAAAGAAAAGAAGAGAAGGAGGAGGACGAUGGUAUGCAGUAUUCGCGCUUGAUGUCGUGGGGAUCGUGCUUACGAGUCUUCAACCACGUUUUGAUCAGCCCAAAGAAGAAAGCAGGACAACGAGAGUCGAAAGCAUGGCGAGGUGAGGUAAGGUGAAUCGAGGUGAAGCUGUGGAGCGAAUCGCCAUGGCAACGGCUUCGCCACGGAUUCCAUUUACCUAUCGCUAUGGAAACGUGGGAGGGGGGAGCAGGG